Molecule: long non-coding RNA, 218 nt
Organism: Clupea harengus (Atlantic herring)
Lineage: Eukaryota; Metazoa; Chordata; Actinopteri; Clupeiformes; Clupeidae
Gene: cacna1aa
Exons: 3
Source: RefSeq, a predicted model, not a curated record
UUAGUAUGAUGGAGCCUCCGACACCUAUAAUGCUGUGCUGGCCAACUUGAACAUCGUUUUUACCUCACUGUUUUCCAUGGAGUGUAUACUGAAGAUCAUUGCCUUUGGGGUUUUGAACUACUUCAAAGACGCCUGGAACAUCUUUGACUGUGUGACAGUCGUCGGGAGCAUCACAGAUAUUCUAGUCACAGAGCUUGGGGGCGAGACUUCCUGCUCUG